GUUGCUUAUUUGUGUUUUUGUGUAAAUCGGUCUCUCUCUCACGUGAGUGACGCAUAUGAACGAAAAUAAAACGUCCUCCUCGCUGCGACGCGAAACUUAAAUGCGACCCGGAACCGGAAACUAGCCUUUGCUUGCCUUGAGGUCUUGUUUGCUAUUUUUGUUUUGCCCGAUUCGAACACGUUAGCUUCGUUAUCUUAGCUCCGUUAGCGCUAAGUUAGGCAUUUUUUUUGUAUUGUUUACGUGCGCAGUCGACGAUCACAACGAAGGAAUGUUGCCUCCACGUCGGUUGCUGAAAAAGUGGCGACCUGUAGUGCAAAGGCUGGAGGAGGGAUGAACACUGCUGCCGCAGACUCAAGUGUUCAGCACAUGGGUGGAUCUGCACUACAAUGAUGGAAACCUGCUUUUGGAAAG
Molecule: long non-coding RNA, 411 nt
Organism: Hippocampus comes (tiger tail seahorse)
Lineage: Eukaryota; Metazoa; Chordata; Actinopteri; Syngnathiformes; Syngnathidae
Exons: 2
Source: RefSeq, a predicted model, not a curated record